RNAcentral lists this ribosomal RNA (692 nucleotides) under uncultured bacterium. RNAcentral's name for it is "bacterial SSU rRNA". It matches the Rfam family "Bacterial small subunit ribosomal RNA", at positions 139 to 851 of the family's 1533-position model. The record is from RNAcentral.
ACGGAUAACAUACCGAAAGGUAUGCUAAUACGGGAUAAUAUAUUUGAGAGGCAUCUCUUAAAUAUCAAAGGUGAGCCAGUACAGGAUGGACCCGCGUCUGAUUAGCUAGUUGGUAAGGUAACGGCUUACCAAGGCGACGAUCAGUAGCCGACCUGAGAGGGUGAUCGGCCACAUUGGAACUGAGACACGGUCCAAACUCCUACGGGAGGCAGCAGUGGGGAAUAUUGCACAAUGGGCGAAAGCCUGAUGCAGCAACGCCGCGUGAGUGAUGAAGGCCUUCGGGUCGUAAAACUCUGUCCUCAAGGAAGAUAAUGACGGUACUUGAGGAGGAAGCCCCGGCUAACUACGUGCCAGCAGCCGCGGUAAUACGUAGGGGGCUAGCGUUAUCCGGAUUUACUGGGCGUAAAGGGUGCGUAGGCGGUCUUUCAAGUCAGGAGUGAAAGGCUACGGCUCAACCGUAGUAAGCUCUUGAAACUGGGAGACUUGAGUGCAGGAGAGGAGAGUGGAAUUCCUAGUGUAGCGGUGAAAUGCGUAGAUAUUAGGAGGAACACCAGUUGCGGAGGCGGCUCUCUGGACUGUAACUGACGCUGAGGCACGAAAGCGUGGGGAGCAAACAGGAUUAGAUACCCUGGUAGUCCACGCUGUAAACGAUGAGUACUAGGUGUCGGGGGUUACCCCCCUCGGUGCCGCAG